Molecule: ribosomal RNA, 425 nt
Filed under: uncultured bacterium
Lineage: Bacteria
Description: bacterial SSU rRNA
Rfam family: Bacterial small subunit ribosomal RNA
Source: RNAcentral
GUGGGGAAUCUUGGACAAUGGGGGCAACCCUGAUCCAGCGAUGCCGCGUGAAUGAAGAAGGCCUUAGGGUUGUAAAGUUCUUUCACCCGUGACGAUAAUGACGGUAGCGGGAGAAGAAGCCCCGGCUAACUCCGUGCCAGCAGCCGCGGUAAGACGGAGGGGGCUAGCGUUGUUCGGAAUGACUGGGCGUAAAGGGCGUGUAGGCUGUUGAUCAAGUCAAGCGUGAAAGCCUCGGGCUUAACCCGAGAACUGCGUUUGAUACUGGUUGACUUGAGGACGAGAGAGGAAAGUGGAAUUCCGAGUGUAGAGGUGAAAUUCGUAGAUAUUCGGAGGAACAUCAGAGGCGAAGGCGGCUUUCUGGCUCGUAUCUGACGCUGAGGCGCGAAAGCGUGGGGAGCAAACAGGAUUAGAAACCCCAGUAGUCC